Molecule: ribosomal RNA, 409 nt
Filed under: uncultured bacterium
Lineage: Bacteria
Description: bacterial SSU rRNA
Rfam family: Bacterial small subunit ribosomal RNA
Source: RNAcentral
UCAGCAGCCGCGGUAAUACGAAGGGGGCUAGCGUUGUUCGGAAUUACUGGGCGUAAAGCGCGUGUAGGCGGGUCUUUAAGUCAGGGGUGAAAUGCCAAGGCUCAACCUUGGAACUGCCUUUGGUACUGGGGAUCUUGAGUCCGGGAGAGGUGAGUGGAACUGCGAGUGUAGAGGUGAAAUUCGUAGAUAUUCGCAAGAACACCAGUGGCGAAGGCGGCUCACUGGCCCGGAACUGACGCUGAGACGCGAAAGCGUGGGGAGCAAACAGGAUUAGAUACCCUGGUAGUCCACGCUGUAAACGAUGGAUGCUAGCCGUUGGGGAGCUUGCUCUUCAGUGGCGCAGCUAACGCUUUAAGCAUCCCGCCUGGGGAGUACGGUCGCAAGAUUAAAACUCAAAGGAAUUGACGGA